Molecule: long non-coding RNA, 1216 nt
Filed under: Mus musculus (house mouse)
Lineage: Eukaryota; Metazoa; Chordata; Mammalia; Rodentia; Muridae
Description: long non-coding RNA chr16:40095913-40097129
Source: RNAcentral
GGAGAAAUUGCUUUCCAGCAGGGAGGGAGAGAGAUUGGAGCAUGCACUAAGGAACAGUUAUAUUUGUGAUAAAACUUGAUUGGUUAUUAGUCGAGAAGAUCCUUCUUAGCUGGAGACAUGUACAUACAAAUAUAAAGGAGACUUGCACUAUGCUGUUGCAUAAAAAAGUGAUUUAAUUUGAAAAAGCUUGAGCAGAAGACCAGAGUGGGAUAACUGGAGGAGUCAGAUACACUUGCUAAAAUUAACUUAUUAGAAUUAACACUUGCAAAAUUGUAUAAUUUACAUUCAAAAAAUGAAGAAUACAAAACAUGAAGAUCUCUAUAGACAAUUGUACUACCUACUACCGAAGAUCUCUAUAGACAAUUGUACUACCUACUACCCCAGGCCAAAAAAAAAAAAAAAAAGAGGGAGGAAAAAAAUCAAACCAAAACCAAAACCAAAAACCCAUUGGAAGAUAGAUAAUAAAAUGAAAGAAUAAUGACAUUUAGCAUUGUAUCUGUAGAUUUGGAAAUGAGUUUUGGCUGAGAAUGUGUUAAGCAGAGUCAUAAGAGAUGAUGGUCUGAAAUACAAGCUAAAAGAGCAUAGGGAGUCUUGCUGGAAUAGAACCUUCCUGACUGAUUUUUGGCUAUUUAUAAAUAUGGGAGAGAACUGGGUUGAUAGUGAGAUAUUGCUAGAGUUUGUGGUUUUUGAAUGAAGCAUUUGAAGUGAAAUGAGUGUGAUUGAAAAUAUAGGUGGGAUAAGAUAAUGGCAGAGAUUACAUUCAUUGACAGGAAGUCAGGAUUUUCCUUGUGAGUGAUAGGAAGCAUUCAAAGGAUUCAGCCAAGAAGCAUCAGAGGAAGAAGUGCAGAAAUGCUCUACUGGAGCAUUUGUAUUCCUUAAUGAUUGUGUGUCAAUCAAAAUGAAAAAUCUCCAUGUCUGUAUUUUCUUCUAAGAAUGUGGAGAGUGGAUUUCAAGUUCGUCAGGUGUAGAAACAGAACCAUGAACCAAAGAAGAGGAGUCUUUGGAAUUUUCUAAGACCCCACAAAAAUGUGGAAAUGUAAAACAAAGUAGAAAUAAUAAUGUGUAUAAAAUCUGGAUAACGUUACCAAUGCAAAUUGAGUGCUUGACUCUAUAUUCAGAGGAAAGCUGUCUUGGCUUGAAUUUUUUAGAAGCAGACCCUGAGAUGAGAAUUUAAGUGGUAGCAGUUUAAUUUGGAAAGGAAGAAAAUGCCAUCAGG